GACGAACGCUGGCGGCGUGCUUAACACAUGCAAGUCGAACGGUGAUGCUCCAGCUUGCUGGCGUGGAUCAGUGGCGAACGGGUGAGUAACACGUGAGCAACCUGCCCCAGACUCUGGAAUAAGCGCUGGAAACGGCGUCUAAUACUGGAUACGAAACUGGCCCGCAUGGGCAUGGUUUGGAAAGUUUUUCGGUUUGGGAUGGGCUCGCGGCCUAUCAGCUUGUUGGUGAGGUAAUGGCUCACCAAGGCGACGACGGGUAGCCGGCCUGAGAGGGCGACCGGCCACACGGGGACUGAGACACGGCCCAGACUCCUACGGGAGGCAGCAGUGGGGAAUAUUGCACAAUGGGCGAAAGCCUGAUGCAGCGACGCCGCGUGAGGGAUGACGGCCUUCGGGUUGGAAACCUCUUUCAGCAGGGAAGAAGCGAAAGUGACGGUACCUGCAGAAGAAGCACCGGCUAACUACGU
Molecule: ribosomal RNA, 467 nt
Filed under: uncultured bacterium
Lineage: Bacteria
Description: partial 16S ribosomal RNA
Rfam family: Bacterial small subunit ribosomal RNA
Source: RNAcentral